Elephantulus edwardii (Cape elephant shrew) is the source of this 73-nucleotide non-coding RNA. The record is from the annotation of a RefSeq genome assembly. Lineage: Eukaryota; Metazoa; Chordata; Mammalia; Macroscelidea; Macroscelididae.
CCUUCGAUAGCUCAGGUGGUAGAACGGAGGACUGUAGAUCCUUAGGUCGCUGGUUCGAUUCCGGCUCCAAGGA